This 253-nucleotide ribosomal RNA is filed under the name uncultured bacterium. Its description in RNAcentral is "partial 16S ribosomal RNA". It matches the Rfam family "Bacterial small subunit ribosomal RNA", at positions 524 to 776 of the family's 1533-position model. The record is from RNAcentral.
UACGUAGGGGGCAAGCGUUGUCCGGAUUUAUUGGGCGUAAAGAGCGUGUAGGCGGCCAGGGAGGUCCGUUGUGAAAACUCGAGGCUCAACCUCGAGACGCCGAUGGAAACCCCCUGGCUAGAGUCCGGAAGAGGAGAGUGGAAUUCCUGGUGUAGCGGUGAAAUGCGCAGAUAUCGGGAGGAACACCAAUGGCGAAGGCAGCUCGCUGGGACGUUACUGACGCUGAGACGCGAAAGCGUGGGGAGCAAACAGG